AAUGGCUCAUUAUAUAAGUUAUCGUUUAUUUGAUAGUACCUUACUACUUGGAUAACCGUGGUAAUUCUAGAGCUAAUACAUGCUGAAAAUCCCGACUUCGGAAGGGAUGUAUUUAUUAGAUUAAAAACCAAUGCCCUCUGGGCUCUCUGGUGAUUCAUAAUAACUUCUCGAAUCGCAUGGCCUUGCGCCGGCGAUGGUUCAUUCAAAUUUCUUCCCUAUCAACUUUCGAUGUUUGGGUAGUGGCCAAACAUGGUUGCAACGGGUAACGGAGGGUUAGGGCUCGACCCCGGAGAAGGAGCCUGAGAAACGGCUACUACAUCCAAGGAAGGCAGCAGGCGCGCAAAUUACCCAAUCCCGAUUCGGGGAGGUAGUGACAAUAAAUACUGAUACAGGGCUCUUUUGGGUCUUGUAAUUGGAAUGAGUACAAUUUAAAUCCCUUAACGAGGAACAAUUGGAGGGCAAGUCUGGUGCCAGCAGCCGCGGUAAUUCCAGCUCCAAUAGCGUAUAUUAAAGUUGUUGUGGUUAAAAAGCUCGUAGUUGAACCUUGGGCCUGGCUGGCCGGUCCGCCUCACCGCGUGUACUGGUCCGGCCGGGUCUUUCCCUCUGUGGAACCCCAUGCCCUUCACUGGGUGUGGCGGGGAAACAGGACUUUUACUUUGAAAAAAUUAGAGUGCUCCAGGCAGGCCUAUGCUCGAAUACAUUAGCAUGGAAUAAUGAAAUAGGACGUGCGGUUCUAUUUUGUUGGUUUCUAGGACCGCCGUAAUGAUUAAUAGGGACAGUCGGGGGCAUCAGUAUUCAAUUGUCAGAGGUGAAAUUCUUGGAUUUAUUGAAGACUAACUACUGCGAAAGCAUUUGCCAAGGAUGUUUUCAUUAAUCAGGAACGAAAGUUAGGGGAUCGAAGACGAUCAGAUACCGUCGUAGUCUUAACCAUAAACUAUGCCGACUAGGGAUCGGACGAUGUUAUUUUUGACUCGUUCGGCACCUUACGAGAAAUCAAAGUGC
Molecule: ribosomal RNA, 1002 nt
Filed under: Metarhizium macrosemiae
Lineage: Eukaryota; Fungi; Ascomycota; Sordariomycetes; Hypocreales; Clavicipitaceae
Description: SSU rRNA
Rfam family: Eukaryotic small subunit ribosomal RNA
Source: RNAcentral